GUGAACGCUGGCGGUAGGCCUAACACAUGCAAGUCGAACGGCAGCACAGUAAGAGCUUGCUCUUACGGGUGGCGAGUGGCGGACGGGUGAGGAAUACAUCGGAAUCUACUUUUUCGUGGGGGAUAACGUAGGGAAACUUACGCUAAUACCGCAUACGACCUACGGGUGAAAGCAGGGGAUCUUCGGACCUUGCGCGAUUGAAUGAGCCGAUGUCGGAUUAGCUAGUUGGCGGGGUAAAGGCCCACCAAGGCGAUGAUCCGUAGCUGGUCUGAGAGGAUGAUCAGCCACACUGGAACUGAGACACGGUCCAGACUCCUACGGGAGGCAGCAGUGGGGAAUAUUGGACAAAGGGCGCAAGCCUGAUCCAGCCAUACCGCGUGGGUGAAGAAGGCCUUCGGGUUGUAAAGCCCUUUUGUUGGGAAAGAAAAGCAGCAGGUUAAUACCCCGCUGUUCUGACGGUACCCAAAGAAUAAGCACCGGCUAACUUCGUG
Molecule: ribosomal RNA, 491 nt
Filed under: uncultured bacterium
Lineage: Bacteria
Description: partial 16S ribosomal RNA
Rfam family: Bacterial small subunit ribosomal RNA
Source: RNAcentral